UGGCCACGUUGUGGACAUGAAUUUAUGAGAUCCUUAAAUCGCUCCCAGCAUUAGAAGGUCUCAUCUUCUUUUUGCGUAAAAUUCAUGAUUGCUUUCCUUAAGGUA
Small nucleolar RNA from Magnolia sinica, 105 nucleotides. NCBI's taxonomy places the organism in Eukaryota, Viridiplantae, Streptophyta, Magnoliopsida, Magnoliales, Magnoliaceae. The record is from RefSeq and is a predicted model, not a curated record.